Molecule: non-coding RNA, 207 nt
Filed under: Agrobacterium sp.
Lineage: Bacteria; Pseudomonadati; Pseudomonadota; Alphaproteobacteria; Hyphomicrobiales; Rhizobiaceae
Source: RNAcentral
GCAUGAAAGACGUGUGAUGGUCUUUCCGGGUUCGCCCGGAAAGUGAAAAGGGAACACGAUAGAAGCCUCAUGCUUCGAUUCGUGGCUGCCCCCGCAACUGUGAGCGGAUAGCCUGAAAACGAAAAGCCACUGACUGCAAAGUUCGGGAAGGUGUUUUCAAGGUUACGACCCGCGAGCCAGGAGACCUGCCAUCACAUGAGUGUCGUC